ACCUUAUGUGUGGAGUCUCUUCGAACCCCCUCAACCAUCCGGACUUCUUCGAUAAUGAACUUCUGCAUUCAUCCACCGGGCCACCCCAAAGGCCCUCAAGGCCCCACUGUUAGCCGACCUUCUAUAGCAACCGACUAUCCCCAAACUUCUUUCAGACUUCAUCAGCAUCUGAGCUUCCCCGACAAUGAGAUUUCUACAGUAACC
This 204-nucleotide long non-coding RNA is filed under the name Elaeis guineensis (African oil palm). Its description in RNAcentral is "long non-coding RNA (EGUI_LNC062135)". The record is from RNAcentral. Lineage: Eukaryota; Viridiplantae; Streptophyta; Magnoliopsida; Arecales; Arecaceae.